UUGACCUCGGAUCAGGUAGGAAUACCCGCUGAACUUAAGCAUAUCAAUAAGCGGGAA
RNAcentral lists this ribosomal RNA (57 nucleotides) under ascomycete sp. ZGZII03175. RNAcentral's name for it is "partial 28S ribosomal RNA". The record is from RNAcentral. Lineage: Eukaryota; Fungi; Ascomycota.